This 1398-nucleotide ribosomal RNA is filed under the name uncultured organism. RNAcentral's name for it is "bacterial SSU rRNA". It matches the Rfam family "Bacterial small subunit ribosomal RNA". The record is from RNAcentral.
UUGAUCCUGGCUCAGAACGAACGCUGGCGGCAGGCCUAACACAUGCAAGUCGAACGAUAUAGUGGCAGACGGGUGAGUAACGCGUGGAAACGUGCCCUUCGGUACGGAAUAGCCCCGGGAAACUGGGGGUAAUACCGUAUACGCCCCUCGGGGGAAAGAUUUAUCGCCGAAGGAUCGGUCCGCGUUGGAUUAGCUAGUUGGUGGGGUAAGAGCGUACCAAGGCGACGAUCCAUAGCUGGUCUGAGAGGAUGACCAGCCACACUGGGACCGAGACACGGCCCAGACUCCUACGGGAGGCAGCAGUGGGGAAUCUUGGACAAUGGGCGCAAGCCUGAUCCAGCCAUGCCGCGUGGAUGAUGAAGGCCCUAGGGUUGUAAAAUCCUUUCGUCAGGGACGAUAAUGACGGUACCUGAAGAAGAAGCCCCGGCUAACUUCGUGCCAGCAGCCGCGGUAAUACGAAGGGGGCUAGCGUUGUUCGGAAUUACUGGGCGUAAAGCGCGCGUAGGCGGACUACUAAGCCAGGUGUGAAAUCCCGGGGCUCAACCUCGGAACUGCAUUUGGAACUGGUAGUCUAGAGUCCGGGAGAGGUGAGCGGAAUACCGAGUGUAGAGGUGAAAUUCGUAGAUAUUCGGUGGAACACCAGUGGCGAAGGCGGCUCACUGGACCGGUACUGACGCUGAGGCGCGAAAGUGUGGGGAGCAAACAGGAUUAGAUACCCUGGUAGUCCACACCGUAAACGAUGAGAGCUAGUUGUCGGCAGGCAUGCCUGUCGGUGACGCAGCUAACGCAAUAAGCUCUCCGCCUGGGGAGUACGGCCGCAAGGUUAAAACUCAAAGAAAUUGACGGGGGCCCGCACAAGCGGUGGAGCAUGUGGUUUAAUUCGAAGCAACGCGCAGAACCUUACCUACCCUUGACAUGCCCGGUUUGGGUUUCAGAGAUGAGAUCCUUCAGUUCGGCUGGCCGGUGCACAGGUGCUGCAUGGCUGUCGUCAGCUCGUGUCGUGAGAUGUUGGGUUAAGUCCCGCAACGAGCGCAACCCUCAUCCUUAGUUGCCAUCACGUCUGGGUGGGCACUCUAAGGAAACUGCCCGUGGCAAGCGGGAGGAAGGUGGGGAUGACGUCAAGUCCUCAUGGCCCUUACGGGUAGGGCUACACACGUGCUACAAUGGCAGUGACAAUGGGAUAAUCCCCAAAAACUGUCUCAGUUCGGAUUGUCGUCUGCAACUCGACGGCAUGAAGUUGGAAUCGCUAGUAAUCGUGGAUCAGCAUGCCACGGUGAUACGUUCCCGGGCCUUGUACACACCGCCCGUCACAUCAUGGGAGUUGGGUCUACCACGAAGACCGUGCGCUAACUGCGGAGGCAGCGGGCCACGGUAGGCUCAGCGACUGGGAUGAAGUCG